GAUGAACGCUGGCGGCGUGCCUAAUACAUGCAAGUCGAGCGAACAGAUAAGGAGCUUGCUCCUUUGACGUUAGCGGCGGACGGGUGAGUAACACGUGGGUAACCUACCUAUAAGACUGGAAUAACUCCGGGAAACCGGGGCUAAUGCCGGAUAACAUUUAGAACCGCAUGGUUCUAAAGUGAAAGAUGGUUUUGCUAUCACUUAUAGAUGGACCCGCGCCGUAUUAGCUAGUUGGUAAGGUAACGGCUUAUCAAGGCAACAAUACGUAGCCGACCUGAGAGGGUGAUCGGCCACACUGGAACUGAGACACGGUCCAGACUCCUACGGGAGGCAGCAGUAGGGAAUCUUCCGCAAUGGGCGAAAGCCUGACGGAGCAACGCCGCGUGAGUGAUGAAGGUCUGCGGAUCGUAAAACUCUGUUAUUAGGGAAGAACAAAUGUGUAAGUAACUGUGCACGUCUUGACGGUACCUAAUCAGAAAGCCACGGCUAACUACGU
RNAcentral lists this ribosomal RNA (496 nucleotides) under uncultured bacterium. RNAcentral's name for it is "partial 16S ribosomal RNA". It matches the Rfam family "Bacterial small subunit ribosomal RNA", at positions 28 to 506 of the family's 1533-position model. The record is from RNAcentral.